This 512-nucleotide ribosomal RNA is filed under the name uncultured Glomus. RNAcentral's name for it is "SSU rRNA". It matches the Rfam family "Eukaryotic small subunit ribosomal RNA", at positions 569 to 1081 of the family's 1831-position model. The record is from RNAcentral. Lineage: Eukaryota; Fungi; Glomeromycota; Glomeromycetes; Glomerales; Glomeraceae.
AGCAGCCGCGGUAAUUCCAGCUCCAAUAGCGUAUAUUAAAGUUGUUGCAGUUAAAAAGCUCGUAGUUGAAUUUCGGGGUCAAUAAGUUGGUCAUGCCAAUGGUAUGCACUGGCUUUAUUGAUUCCUACCUCUUGACGAACUGUGAUGCCAUUAAUUUGGUGUUGCAAGGAAUCAGGACUGUUACCUUGAAAAAAUUAGAGUGUUUAAAGCAAGCUUACGCUUGAAUACAUUAGCAUGGAAUAAUGAAAUAGGACGUUUGAUCCUAUUUUGUUGGUUUCUAGGAUCGACGUAAUGAUUAAUAGGGAUAGUUGGGGGCAUUAGUAUUCAAUUGUCAGAGGUGAAAUUCUUGGAUUUAUUGAAGACUAACUACUGCGAAAGCAAUUUGCCAAGGAUGUUUUCAUUAAUCAAGAACGAAAGUUAGGGGAUCGAAGACGAUCAGAUACCGUCGUAGUCUUAACCAUAAACUAUGCCGACUAGGGAUCGGAUGAUGUUAAUUUUUUAAUGACUCAUUC